GAUGAACGCUGGCGGCGUGCCUAAUACAUGCAAGUCGAGCGAACAGACGAGGAGCUUGCUCCUCUGACGUUAGCGGCGGACGGGUGAGUAACACGUGGAUAACCGACCGUUAGGACUGGGGUAACUUCGGGAAACCGGAGCUAAUACCGGUUAAUAUGUUGAACGGCAUGGUUCAAUGGUGAAAGACGGUUUUGCUGUCACUUAGAGAGGUUUCCGCGCCGCAUUAGCUAGUUGGUAAGGUAACGGCUUACCAAGGCAACGAUGCGUAGCCGACCUGAGAGGGUGAUCGGCCACACUGGAACUGAGACACGGUCCAGACUCCUACGGGAGGCAGCAGUAGGGAAUCUUCCGCAAUGGGCGAAAGCUUGACGGAGCAACGCCGCGUGAGUGAUGAAGGUCUUCGGAUCGUAAAACUCUGUUAUUAGGGAAGAACAAAUGUGUAAGUAACUAUGCACGUCUUGACGGUACCUAAACAGAAAGCCACGGCUAACUACGUG
RNAcentral lists this ribosomal RNA (497 nucleotides) under uncultured bacterium. RNAcentral's name for it is "partial 16S ribosomal RNA". It matches the Rfam family "Bacterial small subunit ribosomal RNA", at positions 28 to 507 of the family's 1533-position model. The record is from RNAcentral.